RNAcentral lists this ribosomal RNA (497 nucleotides) under uncultured bacterium. RNAcentral's name for it is "partial 16S ribosomal RNA". It matches the Rfam family "Bacterial small subunit ribosomal RNA", at positions 28 to 507 of the family's 1533-position model. The record is from RNAcentral.
GACGAACGCUGGCGGCGUGCCUAAUACAUGCAAGUAGAACGCUGAAAAUUGGUGCUUGAACCGAGCGGAUGAGUUGCGAACGGGUGAGUAACGAGUAGGUAACCUGCCUGGUAGCGGGGGAUAACUAUUGGAAACGAUAGCUAAUACCGCAUAAGAGUAGAUGUUGCAUGACAUUUGCUUAAAAGGUGCAAUUGCACCACUACCAGAUGGACCUGCGUUGUAUUAGCUAGUUGGUGGGGUAACGGCUCACCAAGGCGACGAUACAUAGCCGACCUGAGAGGUGGUGCGGCCACACUUGGACUGAGACACGGCCCAGACUCCUACGGGAGGCAGCAGUAGGGAAUCUUCGGCAAUAGAUGGAAGGCUGACCGAGCAACGCCGCGUGAGUGAAGAAGGUUUUCGGAUCGUAAAGCUCUGUUGUAAGAGAAGAACGAGUGUGAGAGUGGAAAGUUCACACUGUGACGGUAUCUUACCAGAAAGGGACGGCUAACUACGUG